UUUCCGUAGGUGAACCUGCGGAAGGAUCAUUAAAAAAUAUCGCUCGAUUGAGAGUGAUUUAAUAAUCAUCCCACCCUUUGUGAAUUUGUUGUUUGUAAUAAUUUUUUUUGAUUUUAAAAAAAAAAUUAUUUAUGGUUUUGUCUAUCCCUAAAAUUGGUUUGUUGUGAAAUGAAUCAAAUUUAGGGAAUAGGCUUUCAUAAAUAAGUUUUUUUAAAGUCUUAAAGACCUUUUUUAAAAUUAAACUUUUGUAUUCAUUUGUCUAAAUUUUUUUUAAAUAAUUUAAAAACAACUUUUGACAAUGGAUCUCUUGGUUCUCGCAACGAUGAAGAACGCAGCAAAAUGCGAUAAGUAAUGUGAAUUGCAGAAUACGUGAAUCAUCAAAUCUUCGAACGCAUAUUGCACUUUUUUAGUUUACUAAAAAAGUAUGUCUGUUUGAGUAUCAGUAAAAUAUUCUCAUAAAAACAUUCUUUGUUUUUAUGGUUAUGAGUGUUUUACAACGAUAAACAAGUUGUUUCACUUUAAAUUCAUUUUAAUUUAAGACCUUAUGGUUUUAAUAAUAAAAUUGGAUAAAAUUUUCCCGUAAAAAGGAAUAAACUUUUCAGUUUUUAGUUUACGAGAAAUCCGGUCCGAUUUAAAAGGAAAUUUAUUUAAAUAACUUGAUCUCAAAUCAGAUAAGAGUACCCGCUGAACUUAAGCAUAUCAAUAAGCGGAGGAAAAGAAACUAACAAGGAUUCCCUUAGUAACGGCGAGUGAAGCGGGAAGAGCUCAAAUUUGAAAUCUUCAAGGUUCUACCUUGACGAAUUGUAGUUUAAAGAAGUGUUUUCUGUUAGAUGAGUAGCAAAAGUUCCUUGGAAUGGGACAUCAUAGAGGGUGAGAAUCCCGUAUUUGGUUAUUCAUUCUAGCUUUGUGAUACACUUUCAAAGAGUCGGAUUGUUUGGGAAUGCAGUCCAAAAUGGGUGGUAAAUUUCAUCUAAAGCUAAAUAUUGGCGAGAGACCGAUAGCGAACAAGUACCGUGAGGGAAAGAUGAAAAGAACUUUGAAAAGAGAGUUAAACAGUACGUGAAAUUGUCAAAAGGGAAGCGUUUGACACCAGUGUUGUUUUUCCAAAAAUCAAUUACGAAUGGCUUGAUUUUGUGUUGUAUUGACCUUAUCAGCUUUCUGCACUUUUUUCGAGUCUUUCUUAAUGCACUUUUUGGUUAACAAGUCAACAUCAAUUUCUUUUGUUGUAAAAGAGUAUUCGGAAGGUGGCUUUCUUUUCGGAGAAAGUGUUUAUAGCCCUAUACUUCUACAAUCGGAGAGAUUGAGGUCUGCAGCGUAGAUCCUUCGGGUUAGAUACACUUGUGCUAAGUUGUAGCUUUUCAUAGACAACUUGUUGACUAUGUUUAGUCAUGCGGCUUACUCGCUUA
This 1406-nucleotide unclassified non-coding RNA is filed under the name uncultured Neocallimastigales. RNAcentral describes it as "partial contains small subunit ribosomal RNA, internal transcribed spacer 1, 5.8S ribosomal RNA, internal transcribed spacer 2, and large subunit ribosomal RNA". The stretch from base 658 to 1406 matches the Rfam family "Eukaryotic large subunit ribosomal RNA", at positions 1 to 615 of the family's 3401-position model. The record is from RNAcentral. Lineage: Eukaryota; Fungi; Neocallimastigomycota; Neocallimastigomycetes; Neocallimastigales.